CCCCCCACCCGCAUUAUUAUUCGUUCAGUUUACAACAGGCACAGACGUGUAGUGCGGAAUCGGCGCGUAGGUACAUAAGUUACGAUUUUGUGUUUUUUUGUGCAAGAGAAAAACAUUAUCUUUGGAGUGUAAACUUAACAUUAUUAAAGACUACGAUGCAAAAAUAAAAAUUUGUGAUUUAGCGAAGACGUAUGAUCUACCGGAAUCGACAGUCAGAUCAAUUACGAAAAGUACCCCGCAAAACUGUACCCCGACUUACGCGGAUAGCACUCAGUCCCACCUAUCGCGUAAGUCC
This 295-nucleotide unclassified non-coding RNA is filed under the name Melitaea cinxia (Glanville fritillary). RNAcentral's name for it is "misc RNA ENSMCXG00005016832.1". Lineage: Eukaryota; Metazoa; Arthropoda; Insecta; Lepidoptera; Nymphalidae. The record is from RNAcentral.